GCGAGCUCACCGGAGUUUAUCCGGAAGAGAACGAAGACCACCACGCCGUCCAGAUGGCCGAAUCCGACUACGAGGACGACGACUCGGACCAACCUGUAAGUGUGACCACCCUCUGCUCAGUUCUUGAGAUAUGAGAUUUCGCUCUCAAAUCCUCUUGCUUUGGCUUGAGAAGUUGAGAUAUGAGAUUUCGCUCUCAAGUCCUCUUGCUUUGGCUUUUUAUGCCGUUUAUUUCUUUGCUCAGUUUACGUAUGCGUGCCUAUGCCUUGAUUUUACACAGAAAUUUUAUGUGAAGUUAGUUUUGCUGAUAAACACUUAUCUAGUUCUAACUUUUUUCGGGAUUUUUGGGAGUUUAACUUAGUGCCUAAAUUAGCUCUGUUUCUAGAUUUUGGGAAUGCAGUUUGGAGCAUCCAUUUCAGUCUAACACGGGCAAUUUUGCG
This 437-nucleotide long non-coding RNA is filed under the name Setaria viridis. Its description in RNAcentral is "long non-coding RNA (SVIR_LNC007457)". Lineage: Eukaryota; Viridiplantae; Streptophyta; Magnoliopsida; Poales; Poaceae. The record is from RNAcentral.